UAGAAUUAGGAGGAAUUGAGCUCCUAUACUUUUAAAAAUACUAAUUUAUUAGUGUUUGUAAAUUUUUUGUUCUUAAAUUAAGAAAUGUAUGGUUAUGAUGAUGGUGGUCUCUCAAUUUUGAGUGGGUGGAUGGUUGGUUGAAUAGUAUGAUCUAACGAGUAUAAAUAGUCAAAAAAGUAGAUCCAACGAUGGAAAAAUUUAUAAUCUGCAAGUGCUUGACGCUUUUAAAAGCACCAUAGCAGAACUCGAAUUGGGA
RNAcentral lists this long non-coding RNA (256 nucleotides) under Ananas comosus (pineapple). Its description in RNAcentral is "long non-coding RNA (ACOM_LNC006856)". The record is from RNAcentral. Lineage: Eukaryota; Viridiplantae; Streptophyta; Magnoliopsida; Poales; Bromeliaceae.